UACGGAAGGCAGCAGUGGGGAAUAUUGCACAAUGGGCGCAAGCCUGAUGCAGCCAUGCCGCGUGUAUGAAGAAGGCCUUCGGGUUGUAAAGUACUUUCAGUCGUGAGGAAGGUGUUAAGGUUAAUAACCUUAGCAAUUGACGUUAGCGACAGAAGAAGCACCGGCUAACUCCGUGCCAGCAGCCGCGGUAAUACGGAGGGUGCGAGCGUUAAUCGGAAUUACUGGGCGUAAAGGGCACGCAGGCGGUUAAUUAAGUUGGAUGUGAAAUCCCCGGGCUUAACCUGGGAAUGGCAUUCAAGACUGGUUAGCUAGAGUCUUGUAGAGGGGGUAGAAUUCCAUGCGUAGCGGUGAAAUGCGUAGAGAUGUGGAGGAAUACCGGUGGCGAAGGCGGCCCCUGGACAAAGACUGACGCUCAUGUGCGAAAGCGUGGGGAGCAAACAGGGAUUAGAUACC
This 453-nucleotide ribosomal RNA is filed under the name uncultured bacterium. RNAcentral's name for it is "bacterial SSU rRNA". It matches the Rfam family "Bacterial small subunit ribosomal RNA", at positions 340 to 786 of the family's 1533-position model. The record is from RNAcentral.